Molecule: long non-coding RNA, 258 nt
Organism: Alosa sapidissima (American shad)
Lineage: Eukaryota; Metazoa; Chordata; Actinopteri; Clupeiformes; Clupeidae
Exons: 3
Source: RefSeq, a predicted model, not a curated record
AAGAUGGCAGCAGCGACCAUCAAUAAUAGUAAGUAUUUUUAGUAACGGUUCUUGACCUGGGGCCCAAGGACAACCAUCCCAGCGGUCCUGCAUACCCACCUACCUUUGUCCAAAAACUCAGCCUAUUACAGACACUCCACAACCUGUCAACUACAUGACAACUGCACCCAACUUGGCAAAAACCAAUGAUGGCACCAGCUCAAACCCUAACCAUAAGUAUAAGUAAGUAAGUAUAUACACUCUUUUGAUUCCGUGAGG